Molecule: ribosomal RNA, 497 nt
Filed under: uncultured bacterium
Lineage: Bacteria
Description: partial 16S ribosomal RNA
Rfam family: Bacterial small subunit ribosomal RNA
Source: RNAcentral
GAUGAACGCUGGCGGCGUGCCUAAUACAUGCAAGUCGAGCGAACAGACGAGGAGCUUGCUCCUCUGACGUUAGCGGCGGACGGGUGAGUAACACGUGGAUAACCUACCUAUAAGACUGGGAUAACUUCGGGAAACCGGAGCUAAUACCGGAUAAUAUAUUGAACCGCAUGGUUCAAUAGUGAAAGACGGUUUUGCCGUCACUUAUAGAUGGAUCCGCGUCGCAUUAGCUAGUUGGUAAGGUAACGGCUUACCAAGGCAACGAUGCGUAGCCGACCUGAGAGGGUGAUCGGCCACACUGGAACUGAGACACGGUCCAGACUCCUACGGGAGGCAGCAGUAGGGAAUCUUCCGCAAUGGGCGAAAGCUUGACGGAGCAACGCCGCGUGAGUGAUGAAGGUCUUCGGAUCGUAAAACUCUGUUAUUAGGGAAGAACAAAUGUGUAAGUAACUAUGCACGUCUUGACGGUACCUAAUCAGAAAGCCACGGCUAACUACGUG